GUGCAGUUUCAGCUGGCCACUGGAACUGACCGAACAACAAGACACAGUACUGAUGAUGGAGAAGAUGAGAGUCUGAAAUACUGAUUGAAGAUUCUUAACAAAAAUUCUGCAAAUGUUUCUAUGCUCCUCCUAUCAUUUCCAUCCUA
Trachemys scripta elegans is the source of this 146-nucleotide long non-coding RNA. RefSeq lists it as uncharacterized. The transcript is spliced from 3 exons. The record is from RefSeq and is a predicted model, not a curated record. NCBI's taxonomy places the organism in Eukaryota, Metazoa, Chordata, Testudines, Emydidae.